CCUACGGGCGACAGCAGUGGGGAAUAUUGCACAAUGGGGGAAACCCUGAUGCAGCGACGCCGCGUGAGUGAAGAAGUAUCUCGGUACGUAAAGCUCUAUCAGCAGGGAAGAAAAUGACGGUACCUGACUAAGCAGCCCCGGCUAACUACGUGCCAGCAGCCGCGGUAAUACGUAGGGGGCAAGCGUUAUCCGGAUUUACGGGGUGUAAAGGGAGCGUAGACGGCAGCACAAGUCUGGAGUGAAAUCCCGGGGCUUAAUCCCGGAACUGCUUUGGAAACUGUGCGGCUGGAGUGCAGGAGGGGUAAGCGGAAGUCCUAGUGUAGCGGUGAAAUGCGUAGAUAUUAGGAAGAACACCGGUGGCGAAGGCGGCUUACUGGACUGUAACGGACGUUGAGGCUCGAAAGCGUGGGGAGCAAACAGGAUUAGAUACCCCUGUAGUC
This 440-nucleotide ribosomal RNA is filed under the name uncultured bacterium. RNAcentral's name for it is "partial 16S ribosomal RNA". It matches the Rfam family "Bacterial small subunit ribosomal RNA", at positions 338 to 795 of the family's 1533-position model. The record is from RNAcentral.